AUUGAACGCUGGCGGCAGGCUUAACACAUGCAAGUCGAGCGGGGUGAUGGUGCUUGCACUAUCACUUAGCGGCGGACGGGUGAGUAAUGCUUAGGAAUCUGCCUAUUAGUGGGGGACAACAUCUCGAAAGGGAUGCUAAUACCGCAUACGUCCUACGGGAGAAAGCAGGGGAUCACUUGUGACCUUGCGCUAAUAGAUGAGCCUACGUCGGAUUAGCUAGUUGGUGGGGUAAGGGCCUACCAAGGCGACGAUCUGUAGCGGGUCUGAGAGGAUGAUCCGCCACACUGGGCCUGAGACACGGCCCAGACUCCUACGGGAGGCAGCAGUGGGGAAUAUUGGACAAUGGGGGGAACCCUGAUCCAGCCAUGCCGCGUGUGUGAAGAAGGCCUUAUGGUUGUAAAGCACUUUAAGCGAGGAGGAGGCUCUUUUGGUUAAUACCCAAGAUGAGUGGACGUUACUCGCAGAAUAAGCACCGGCUAACUCUGUGCCAGCCGCCGCCGUAA
Molecule: ribosomal RNA, 503 nt
Filed under: uncultured bacterium
Lineage: Bacteria
Description: partial 16S ribosomal RNA
Rfam family: Bacterial small subunit ribosomal RNA
Source: RNAcentral